Molecule: ribosomal RNA, 474 nt
Filed under: Actinomyces naeslundii
Lineage: Bacteria; Bacillati; Actinomycetota; Actinomycetes; Actinomycetales; Actinomycetaceae
Description: bacterial SSU rRNA
Rfam family: Bacterial small subunit ribosomal RNA
Source: RNAcentral
GACGAACGCUGGCGGCGUGCUUAACACAUGCAAGUCGAACGGUGAAGGGGCCUGCUUUUGUGGGUCCUGGAUGAGUGGCGAACGGGUGAGUAACACGUGAGUAACCUGCCCCCUUCUUCUGGAUAACCGCAUGAAAGUGUGGCUAAUACGGGAUAUUCUGGGUCUGUCGCAUGGUGGGCCUGGGAAAGAUUGCGCUUUUUUUGGUGUUUUUGGUGGGGGAUGGGCUCGCGGCCUAUCAGCUUGUUGGUGGGGUGAUGGCCUACCAAGGCGGUGACGGGUAGCCGGCCUGAGAGGGUGGACGGUCACACUGGGACUGAGACACGGCCCAGACUCCUACGGGAGGCAGCAGUGGGGAAUAUUGCACAAUGGGCGCAAGCCUGAUGCAGCGACGCCGCGUGAGGGAUGGAGGCCUUCGGGUUGUGAACCUCUUUCGCCAGUGAAGCAGGCCUGCCUCGUUUGUGGGUGGGUAGAACG